Schizosaccharomyces pombe (fission yeast) is the source of this 846-nucleotide non-coding RNA. The record is from the annotation of a GenBank genome assembly. Lineage: Eukaryota; Fungi; Ascomycota; Schizosaccharomycetes; Schizosaccharomycetales; Schizosaccharomycetaceae.
ACGACUUGCUCCAUUCCUUAACGCGCUCUCCGGUCCUUGGAUCAAGGAUAGCAAUGUGAGGCGUAGAACGAACGGGGUAAAACCUUUUAAACUCCAUGCCAGGCUCUUCGUCAUCCAAAAGCUGAAGAAAUAAAAAGUGUGCACGAAUCACCUCUUUUACUGACUCGUCUUUCCAUAAAUCACGGUUAAGUACCUGACAUUCAAACGACGUUGAUGUCUGUAAAUUGACAAGGAUCCACCGCUUCUGAGAAGAUGCUUCUAUUCGAGCUUCAUCAAGGCUGAGAUUGGAAAUUAUAUCAUACGGCGGUCGAAACAAUUUUGCAAGGCGUGACGCUCUACUUGAACUGUCAGACUCUUCUGACGAGUCUUCUGUAUUACUUGAUGGAAAAGGGAUUUGAGAGGGAGAUUGAUCAAAAAUACCCAUACGCCUUCUUUGUCUUCGAUUCAUUCUUGGAAAUCCCCCGAAUCCAAAGUUGUUGCCCAUAAUAGAAGUUCCUGCUGACAUAUCAGCUAACGGGUCUACCAAAACCUCUCUGGUAGGUGCAAUAGGCGCACGAAUUUCUUCUACAGGCUCAGUCUGACUCGGUGCUUCUAUAUAGCUCGAUUGCACAUCGGUAACGCCUCCACUUUCAAAGAACAAUGUGAUUGCAGUCGAUAAAUCGCCAUCUGCAACGCUCAAGUACUCUUGAGCUUUUUCAGGUGUUGAAUUAGUUAUUGCGCAGAAGUUGGCUACUAAACUAGCUUCGUCUCCAUCCAUUUUUUUUACCUUCGUUUAUACCUGUACUUGGUAAAUGGCAAGUAGAGCAGGUUUAGUCAGAGAGGUAUACGCAUACCCCAUACGUAAAC